UGAUGAAGAAGCUUGCUUCUUCUGAUUUUAGCGGCGGACGGGUGAGUAACACGUGGGCAACCUACCUUGUAGAUUGGGAUAACUCCGGGAAACCGGGGCUAAUACCGAAUAAUCCAUUUUGCUUCAUGGCAAGAUGUUGAAAGGCGGCUUCGGCUGUCACUACGAGAUGGGCCCGCGGCGUAUUAGCUAGUUGGUAGGGUAAUGGCCUACCAAGGCGACGAUACGUAGCCGACCUGAGAGGGUGAUCGGCCACACUGGGACUGAGACACGGCCCAGACUCCUACGGGAGGCAGCAGUAGGGAAUCUUCCACAAUGGACGAAAGUCUGAUGGAGCAACGCCGCGUGAGUGAAGAAGGUUUUCGGA
Molecule: ribosomal RNA, 364 nt
Filed under: uncultured bacterium
Lineage: Bacteria
Description: bacterial SSU rRNA
Rfam family: Bacterial small subunit ribosomal RNA
Source: RNAcentral